RNAcentral lists this long non-coding RNA (3134 nucleotides) under Capsella grandiflora. RNAcentral's name for it is "long non-coding RNA (CGRA_LNC000867)". Lineage: Eukaryota; Viridiplantae; Streptophyta; Magnoliopsida; Brassicales; Brassicaceae. The record is from RNAcentral.
CUUCUUCUUCAUCUUCCUCAUCCUUGAUCAGUAAAAAAAGUCACCGCCUCUUUCUCUCUUUCCUCUUUCCUCUACUUUGAUUGAUCAAUCAUGCUUCUUCAUUUCUAGUUCCUCUGACUCAUUUCCUCAUUUCCCUCAUAGAUCUUUCCACAAAACCCAUAAUUGGGAAAAAGCUUACAUUUUUCUCAACGGUCUUAGUUAAAAGUUGUCACUUUGUUUGAAGAAACACAACUAAAGUUUCUCUUUUUACUUCGCAAUUUGGUUGUUUCCACUUCAAUUUCAAUCUUGCUUUCUGAUUCAGAUUCUGGGUUUUCUUCAGAAUUCCCAGAGAAGUUGAAAAAUUUCACCUUUUUUUGUCAUCAAAGUUGUGGUCUUUUUUAGAUGAACAUGGACAAGGAAACAGAGCAAACCCUAAAUUACUUACCUUUGGGUCAGAGCGAUCCCUUUGGCAAUGGCAAUGACGGUUCAAUCGGUGAUUUCCUUGGAAGAUACUGCAACCCUCAAGAGAUUUCACCGUUAACUCUACAGUCUUUCUCUCUGAAUUCUCAGAUCUCUGAGAAUUUUCCAAUCGCCGGUGGAAUAAGAUUCCCUCCGUAUCCAGGUCAAUUCGGAUCCGAUCGAGAAUUUGGGGUUCUUGGGUCACAACCAACGACGCAAGAGAGUAACAAGAGCUCGUUGUUGGAUCCAGAUUCAGUUUCUGAUCGAGUUCACGCCACGAAAUCUAACUCCAGGAAGAGGAAAUCGAUACCUACUGGUAAUGGCAAGGAGUCUCCAGCUUCAUCGUCUCUUACAGCUUCCAAUUCCAAGGUUUGUGAUUCACAAUCUCUCUUGCUUAAAUUCGAAAAUGUAGACUUUAAGAAACUGUAGCUUUCUUGAUUUAUGAACUUAUGUGUGUGUAAGAGAGUUGUGUUUUGUGGAGACUUUAUCUAAUUGACUUUUAAUGUGUUUCUUCAUGUUUUAGCAAUGUUUUGACUCUGACAAAAAAAAAACGGGGUUGGUUUUGGAAUUAUGAUCAGGUUUCAGGAGAGAAUGGUGGAUCUAAGGCUGGGAAGAGAAGCAAGCAGGAUGAAGCUGGGAGUAGUAAAAACGGAUUAGAGAAGUGCGAUAGUAAAGGCGAUAAUAAGGACGAUGCUAAGCCUCCUGAGGCGCCUAAAGAUUAUAUUCAUGUUAGAGCUAGAAGGGGGCAGGCAACAGAUAGCCACAGUCUUGCUGAAAGAGUACUGAACACCUUCCAAAAACCGAUCUAUUUUUGUCGAUUUUAGGCUAUUAUGAUGUUCACAAUGUUGAUGUUUUUGUUGUGUGCUUGGUUUCAGGCAAGAAGAGAAAAGAUCAGCGAGCGAAUGACGUUACUUCAGGAUUUGGUUCCUGGUUGCAACCGGAUUACAGGGAAAGCUGUCAUGCUUGAUGAAAUUAUAAAUUAUGUGCAGUCCUUGCAGAGACAAGUCGAGGUAAGAACUGGUAUUUCAUAAAUGUUCUUGAAAUUGGAGUUUGAAGAUAUCUUAAACCUGAAACUCGCGCUCUGUUUCUUCAGUUCUUGUCCAUGAAGCUGGCAACUGUAAAUCCAAGGAUGGAGUUUAAUGCUAAUUCUACUUUAUCCACAGAGGUAAAAUUCUGGUUUUGAGGCUACAAUAUCAUGUUGUUCUGGCCGAAUGUUCUGAAUGUUCUGUAUCUAUAAUAUAUGCAUGUGUAUGUGUAGAUGAUUCAACCGGGGGAGUCUUUAACGCAGUCUCUUUACGCAAUCGCUUGCUCAGAGCAAAGACUUCCUUCAGCAUACUAUUCCCUUGGCAAGAACAUGCCCAGAUUCUCAGACACACAAUUCCCCUCGAACGAUGGAUUUGUUCAAGCUGAGGUAAUUAGUAGCUAAUGUUCGAUUCUAGAAACUCGUUUGAGCGUAUCGAAAACUCAAUCGUGUCUGCCUUUUUGAUUCAUUUUAGACACCGGGGUUCUGGGAAAAUAAUGACCUGCAAAGCAUAGUUCAGAUGGGCUUUGGAGAUAUCCAGCAACAGAGCAGCAACAACAACUGUAAGAAAAAUUAGAACCAAAGUGGUCCUUUGAAACUUAGAACCAAUCUUUUGCUUAGUCUCUUAUCUUUAUGUUUCAGGUUCUGAGCCAACACUUCAGAUGAAGCUUGAACCAUAGCUCUGAUCAAAGGUGUCUUUAUUAUUAUCUCUCUGUACAUACAGAAAACCAAGUAGUGAUGAGUACGGAGUGAAAUUUAAAUGUUUACUAUCGUUUCUUCUUUGCUUGUGCAUCUGUUGAUUCCUUCUGAACCUAAAGCAAGAAAGCUUCAUAUUAAGUAUGUAAAAAAUUGACAAGAACCUUUCUGGACAUCUCUGUAUUAUUUACAAUUGUUAUGUAUUAUUAUUAUUAUUGCUCAGCUUUGUAAGGAACGGGAAUAAAACUUGUUCACGUCUUAUGUACACUUUUCACAUUUUUCACUGUAAAGGGAGAAAACAAGAAACUAGGCUUUUUAUGUUAUGCAAGUAUGAGAAGAGCUAAACACAUUACAUAAGUUUGUAACAACAUAAAGUAUACAUCAUUUAAUUUAAAAAGAUAACGUUAAAGUAGUGAUUUUAUAUCCUUAUUGGCCUUGCUUCACUUAGGGUUUCUGUAUCUUACCUUCAGCCGCAAUUAUAUAAAUCAGAGGAAAAGUAAAAUGGGAGGUUUUGAUUGCAACUUGAAACAAAUGACGACGAAGAUGAGGAUCUCUAAUCUUCUAGAUGAUUUGGUAAAGGAGAUUCUCAUUAGGGUUCCUUUGACAUCCAUGAGAGCUGCUAGAUUGACCUGCAAAAAGUGGAACGAUCUAUCCAAGUGCCCGAGCUUUAAGAAGAUGCACAUUGGUAAAGCCUUAGCCGCGGCAAAGGAAGGUGAGUCUCAGAUGAUCGUGCUGAUGGGUUCUACUCUUUACUUAAAGAGCAUCGUCAUCAAUGGAGAUCCAUUUACAGAGCAUAAAGGCAAACUUACUUACCUUGACGAACAAGUCAAUAUAUCUAAGUUCUUUUACUGCGAGGGUUUAUUGCUAUGCAUCUUGAAAGAUGAAUAUGAUUCUAGGAUUGUGGUUUGGGAUCCGUAUUUGGGGCAACCAAGGUGGGUCGAACUUAGAUAUCAGCCAUAUGGAUCCAACGGUUUCUCUU